CUCAACGCCGAUCCUUCCUCCUCUCCUUCCUUCCCCGACCUCCCUUCCUUCUCCGAUCUCCCUUGCGGAUGAGCGACGCCGAUGAGAGUGAGGCUCUAGCUCCGGCGAUCUCCCUCUGCAAUCAUCGACCCUCAAGCUCAGGUCCAGCCGAAGCCCUUCUUCUCGCUCUGAUCUCUCUGUUUUCUCACGGGGACGAACCGACACCGACGAUCGCCGGUGUAGAUCUAUUUCCAAAGCAUCAAGGGUGAGCUAUCUUGUUCUUCCUUGAUUUCCCAUAAGCCUCAGCGCCAAAUCUUCACUCGAUUUCCUCCUCUUCCUUUGGUGGUGUUGUGCCCUAGCGGAAUCUUGAAGGUGGAAGAUUUCUUGGUUUCGGCCACCACAGCUCCAUUAGGGAUCACGUUCUUCGUCGGAUCUGUGAUCAACACCAGUGACUGAAGAGAAAGAGAAUAGAGAAAGGCAUGGAUUGUGGACUUUCCCUGUUGCCAUUCACUGUCUCUUCACUUCUAGUAGCUAUGGGGGGUCUCGGUUGAAGAGGUGGGGAUCAAUUUAGGAUUUUGGAUAUGGGACGAUCAUCACAAUGUGGGAUUUAUUUUAUCACGAUUGACAGAUUUAAGG
Molecule: long non-coding RNA, 615 nt
Organism: Zingiber officinale
Lineage: Eukaryota; Viridiplantae; Streptophyta; Magnoliopsida; Zingiberales; Zingiberaceae
Exons: 4
Source: RefSeq, a predicted model, not a curated record